AACGAACGCUGGCGGCAGGCCUAAUACAUGCAAGUCGAACGGAUGUAGCAAUACAUUAGUGGCGCACGGGUGCGUAACACGUGGGAACAUACCCCUUGGUAAGGAAUAAUAUCUGGAAACGGAUACUAAUACCUUAUAAUAUCUUCGGAUCAAAGAUUUAUCGCCAAGGGAUUGGCCCGCGUCUGAUUAGCUAGUUGGUGAGGUAACGGCUCACCAAGGCGACGAUCAGUAGCUGGUCUGAGAGGAUGAUCAGCCACACUGGGACUGAGACACGGCCCAGACUCCUACGGGAGGCAGCAGUAAGGAAUAUUGGACAAUGGGCGAAAGCCUGAUCCAGCCAUGCCGCGUGAGUGAAGAAGGCCUUAGGGUUGUAAAGCUCUUUCAAUGGUGAAGAUAAUGACGGUAGCCAUAGAAGAAGCCCCGGCUAAAUUCGUGCCAGCAGCCGCAGUAA
This 451-nucleotide ribosomal RNA is filed under the name uncultured bacterium. RNAcentral describes it as "partial 16S ribosomal RNA". It matches the Rfam family "Bacterial small subunit ribosomal RNA", at positions 29 to 523 of the family's 1533-position model. The record is from RNAcentral.